ACCAGACUCCUACGGGAGGCAGCAGUGGGGAAUAUUGCACAAUGGGGGAAACCCUGAUGCAGCAACGCCGCGUGAGUGAAGAAGUAUUUCGGUAUGUAAAGCUCUAUCAGCAGGGAAGAAGAAGGACGGUACCUGACUAAGAAGCCCCGGCUAACUACGUGCCAGCAGCCGCGGUAAUACGUAGGGGGCGAGCGUUAUCCGGAUUUACUGGGUGUAAAGGGAGCGUAGACGGUUUUUCAAGUCUGAAGUGAAAGCCCGCGGCUCAACUGCGGAACGGCUUUGGAAACUGAGGGACUAGAGUGCUGGAGGGGCAGGCGGAAUUCCUGGUGUAGCGGUGAAAUGCGUAGAUAUCAGGAGGAACACCGGUGGCGAAGGCGGCCCGCUGGACAGUAACUGACGUUGAGGCUCGAAAGCGUGGGGAGCAAACAGGAUUAGAUACCCCCGUA
RNAcentral lists this ribosomal RNA (446 nucleotides) under uncultured bacterium. Its description in RNAcentral is "bacterial SSU rRNA". It matches the Rfam family "Bacterial small subunit ribosomal RNA", at positions 330 to 792 of the family's 1533-position model. The record is from RNAcentral.